GACGAACGCUGGCGGCGCGCCUAACACAUGCAAGUCGAGCGGGGUCUUUUGAAGUGCUUGCACAUUGGAAGACCUAGCGGCGGACGGGUGAGUAACACGUGAGCAACCUGCCUUACAGAGGGGGAUAACGCCUGGAAACGGGCGCUAAUACCGCAUAAGAUCCCGGCAUCGCAUGAUGGAGGGAUAAAAGGAGCAAUCCGCUGUAAGAUGGGCUCGCGCCCGAUUAGAUAGUUGGCGGGGUAACGGCCCACCAAGUCGACGAUCGGUAGCCGGACUGAGAGGUUGAACGGCCACAUUGGGACUGAGACACGGCCCAGACUCCUACGGGAGGCAGCAGUGGGGGAUAUUGCACAAUGGGGGAAACCCUGAUGCAGCGACGCCGCGUGAGUGAAGACGGCCUUCGGGUUGUAAAGCUCUGUCAACGGGGACGAUAAUGACGGUACCCGUGGAGGAAGCCACGGCUAACUACGUGCCAGCCGCCGCAGUAACAC
This 491-nucleotide ribosomal RNA is filed under the name uncultured bacterium. RNAcentral's name for it is "bacterial SSU rRNA". It matches the Rfam family "Bacterial small subunit ribosomal RNA", at positions 28 to 526 of the family's 1533-position model. The record is from RNAcentral.